Molecule: long non-coding RNA, 2177 nt
Filed under: Panax ginseng (ginseng)
Lineage: Eukaryota; Viridiplantae; Streptophyta; Magnoliopsida; Apiales; Araliaceae
Description: long non-coding RNA (PGIN_LNC005641)
Source: RNAcentral
UUUAAUAUAAAUGUGCCUUCAAUAACAUUAAAUCUUACUUGUUCUGGUUUGAUGAAAUGUAAAUCUUACUAAAUUAUGCAUAAAACGACUAAUUGAAGAUCUGCUCUGCUCUCUCUUUGCGCUCGAUCAGUCAAUUUCUUGGCUUCUCCCUCCUUCCCUCCGCGGCUGUUACUCCUCCUACUUCUUCGAUUGCUGUUAGGUACCAAAUUCUAUACCAGAUGUUUGAUAUGUAUAUAUGUGUGUAUUAUGUUAUGUUUGAAUCUUUGGUAUGUGGUUUUUCUUUUUCUUUACCUCUUUAAUUUUUGACUGUAGUUUCAGAGCCUCUGGUUUCUAUUCAAUUCCAUUUUUUGUUAAUUUAUGUGGUUCAAAUGUUUGAUGGUGGGUGGUGAGUUUUUUCUGCACACGUUCUUAUGAAACUUCAAUCCCAUUUGACAUUUGUAGAGAAAUAUUGGUGUUCAAGAUAUUUAGGAGAAAAAUGAUUGUUUUCUUUCAGUAGUUAGUUACUUGUUUGAAUUGAGGUGUUAAUUGAUGCUAAGGAGUAUAGUCUCUACUUUUCAUUAACUUUGAUUAUUGAUUUAUAUGUUGUUUUUAAUUAGUUGGCAGCUUAUACUGUACAUGAUUGAUGAAAUUCCUCAAUGAGUAUUACUGUAUACUGUUCAGAAAAUAAAUCACCAGUGAUGACUAUAUUAAGUCGUGAGCUAAGUAGUGUGUCCAUAUUGAUUAAUUAAAAAGUGUAAAAGAACUUUCUAAAAAAGUGGGGAGCCAAGUGGAAUGAUUGACUAAGCUGCCUAAAAUUCGUUCCAUUGGAAAAGUAGAAGAUUGUUCUUUGGUCUUUUUUUUUGAUCGGCUUGUUCUCUGGUCAUUUGGGCAGUAAGGUCACAAUUAUCCAUUGAUAAUGUAUUAGUUUAUUUUACAUUUUUACAUUUUUGAGUUGGGGAAAAGCAACCGGAGAUUCAAUUUAUUCUGCCAAAACUAAACAAUGGAUAAGCAGUCAUGUAACUAGGAGAAGGAGAAUGUAAUUGAUUUGACUGUUAGUUGUGCCAUUAAUGUGUGAUUUCAUGAUUUUUAUGUGAUUUAUAUACAUGAGGAGAGGAUGUAUGUGACGUUUCACUGAAUGAUUGCUGCUGGAUAAUUUUUUCACAUAGUUGUGCUAAUUAAAUCAUUUGCUAUAGUUUUACAAGAGCAAGAUGCCAAGAAUAAAAUUAGAAGUCAUGGCUUGAAGUGACAUAAUUUGGCAGGUAUUCUAGUACUUUGGCCCUAUGCACACAUCAUGUCAGGAUUUCUUAUUGCUAAAACUCAGAAGAUCUUAACAAACUUUGCACUAAAUAAUUUCCAAAAAACUACUGUACAAAUCAGGAAAGAAUUUGAUAAUCUGUCAUAUAAAAGGACUAUUCCUCUCUUUUCCAGUUCAAACUGUCGUUAUGGGCAUAGAAGGUUUCUUGGGAAGAGACCUUAUAUGCUACUGGUGUGGAAAUCUACAUUUGUAUCACGGGGAUUAGGUAUAUGAACAUGUAGUUGGAACUGCAUUAACUUGAAAUUGGACAUUACUUGAAAGGAAUUCAUUUGUUUUUCUAUGUAUUCUUGAAAUAAAUUUGUAAAAGCUAGUGCCCUUACCAUUUACCUGGGAUGUCCAAAUGUAGGCUUAAUAUAGCUUCUCAUUGCUGCCAUGGCUUACAAUUUACUAUAAAUAAUGAUCAUUAUUUUGGAAUAGAGAUUUUACAUUGACUGGGUACUUCUACUAUGGAAUAGUUCAGAAUUUUACUCUGGAAUAUGAUAUGAAUCAAUGUAUCUUUUUAUUAAGGUCCUUUUUAGUAAUCUCUACAUUUGAUUUUAACUUAUAAUUCAUUAUCAGCCGAAAACUUUCAUAACUUGUUUGAACUUAAUUUCUGACUUAUAAGUGCCGAACACUUUUACUUAUAAGUCACAACUUAAAAUAACUUAUAAGUCAACUUAUAUUUUAACUUUAAGUCAUUUUAAAAUAAGUCGUUGCCGAACGGGCUCUUAGUGCCGCUCUGCUCUGUGUUUUCAAAUUCAAAGCAAAACUCAUCAAACCAGCUUCUCAGGUAUGGAACCCGUAGCUUCAGUGGUGGACAAGAUGAGAGGACUAGCAAAAUCCACGCAUGACUUCGCUAACGACAUCCUCCACUGGCGCGACACUUCCAAUCUCCGGAAUCCGG